AUUGAACGCUGGCGGCAGGCCUAACACAUGCAAGUCGAACGAGUGGCGGACGGGUGAGUAAUGUAUGGGGAUCUGCCCGAUGGAGGGGGAUAACUACUGGAAACGGUAGCUAAUACCGCAUACUAUCGGAUGAACCCAUAUGGGAUUAGCUAGUGGGGGGGGAAAAGGCUCACCUAGGCGACGAUCUCUAGCUGGUCUGAGAGGAUGACCAGCCACACUGGGACUGAGACACGGCCCAGACUCCUACGGGAGGCAGCAGUGGGGAAUAUUGCACAAUGGGCGCAAUCCUGAGGCAGCCAUGCCGCGUGUAUGAAGAAGGCCUUAGGGUUGUAAAGUACUUUCAGCGGGGAGGCGUUACCCGCAGAAGAAGCACCGGCUAACUCCGUGCCAGCAGCCGCGGUAAUAC
This 406-nucleotide ribosomal RNA is filed under the name uncultured bacterium. RNAcentral's name for it is "partial 16S ribosomal RNA". It matches the Rfam family "Bacterial small subunit ribosomal RNA", at positions 30 to 526 of the family's 1533-position model. The record is from RNAcentral.